RNAcentral lists this unclassified non-coding RNA (336 nucleotides) under soil metagenome. RNAcentral's name for it is "partial contains 5.8S ribosomal RNA, internal transcribed spacer 2, and large subunit ribosomal RNA". The stretch from base 1 to 120 matches the Rfam family "5.8S ribosomal RNA", at positions 35 to 154 of the family's 154-position model. The record is from RNAcentral.
GAUGAAGAACGUAGCGAAAUGCGAUAAGUAAUGUGAAUUGCAGAAUUCCGUGAAUCAUCGAAUCUUUGAACGCACAUUGCGCCCCCUGGUAUUCCGGGGGGCAUGCCUGUCCGAGCGUCAUUGCAACCUUCAAGCGCGGCUUGUGUGUUGGGUCUCGUCCCCCGUGGACGGGCCCGAAAGGCAGUGGCGGCGUCCCGACAUGGUGCCCGAGCGUAUGGGAAUCCUCUUCCGCUCGAAUCGGCCCAUGCGGCGCUGGUCGUAACCAAAUUUUUUACCGGUUGACCUCAGAUCAGGUAGGGAUACCCGCUGAACUUAAGCAUAUCAAUAAGCGGAGGA